Molecule: small nuclear RNA, 103 nt
Organism: Lagopus muta (rock ptarmigan)
Lineage: Eukaryota; Metazoa; Chordata; Aves; Galliformes; Phasianidae
Source: RefSeq, a predicted model, not a curated record
UCACUUUGGUAGUGCAUAUACUAAAAUUGGAACAAUAGAGAGAAGAUUAGCAUGGCCCCUGCACAAAAAUGGCAUGCAAAUUCAUGAAGCGCUCCAUGUUUUU